This 301-nucleotide ribosomal RNA is filed under the name uncultured bacterium. RNAcentral's name for it is "partial 16S ribosomal RNA". It matches the Rfam family "Bacterial small subunit ribosomal RNA", at positions 509 to 808 of the family's 1533-position model. The record is from RNAcentral.
CAGCAGCCGCGGGAAUACGUAGGUGGCAAGCGUUGUCCGGAAUUAUUGGGCGUAAAGCGCGCGCAGGUGGUUUAAUAAGUCUGAUGUGAAAGCCCACGGCUCAACCGUGGAGGGUCAUUGGAAACUGUUAAACUUGAGUGCAGGAGAGAAAAGUGGAAUUCCUAGUGUAGCGGUGAAAUGCGUAGAGAUUAGGAGGAACACAGUGGCGAAGGCGGCUUUUUGGCCUGUAACUGACACUGAGGCGCGAAAGCGUGGGGAGCAAACAGGAUUAGAUACCCGCGUAGUCCCUGUCUCUUAUACA